Maniola jurtina (meadow brown) is the source of this 95-nucleotide long non-coding RNA. RefSeq lists it as uncharacterized. NCBI's taxonomy places the organism in Eukaryota, Metazoa, Arthropoda, Insecta, Lepidoptera, Nymphalidae. The transcript has 3 exons. The record is from RefSeq and is a predicted model, not a curated record.
UUUUGAAAUCCAAAUAUAUAAAAGGUAAAGCUGACUGACCAAUCUAUCAACGCACAGCCCUAACUACUGGACGGAUCGCGCUGAAAUUUGACAUU